AACGAACGCUGGCGGCAGGCCUAACACAUGCAAGUCGAACGAACCUUCGGGUGAGUGGCGCACGGGUGCGUAACGCGUGGGAAUAUACCCUUGAGUAAGGAACAACGUUUGGAAACGAACGCUAAUACCUUAUAAUGACUCCGGUCCAAAGAUUUAUCGCUCAAGGAUUAGCCCGCGUCUGAUUAGCUAGUUGGUGAGGUAACGGCUCACCAAGGCGAUGAUCAGUAGCUGGUCUGAGAGGACGACCAGCCACACUGGGACUGAGACACGGCCCAG
RNAcentral lists this ribosomal RNA (276 nucleotides) under uncultured bacterium. Its description in RNAcentral is "partial 16S ribosomal RNA". It matches the Rfam family "Bacterial small subunit ribosomal RNA", at positions 29 to 334 of the family's 1533-position model. The record is from RNAcentral.